Non-coding RNA from Monodelphis domestica (gray short-tailed opossum), 15804 nucleotides. Lineage: Eukaryota; Metazoa; Chordata; Mammalia; Didelphimorphia; Didelphidae. The record is from RefSeq and is a predicted model, not a curated record.
CCUCCUCCUCACUGCUGGCAUUUAUAUCAUGUUUUACCAUUUGUGAAGUGCUUUAUACUUAUUUUCUCACUUGAUCCUCACUCACAACAGCCUGAUAAGGUAGGUGCUAUUAUUAGCCCCAUUUUACAGAUAAGGAAACAGAAGCUGGGGGAAAAAAGAUGAUUUGACCAGGGUCACACAGCUAAGUAAUUAGCUGAGGCAGUUAGAAGUCUUCUUGACUCUUAAGUUGAGUACUUUAUCCAUUAUACCUAAUUAUGAGGUGUAACAUUUCACGUGUGUGUAUGUAUGUGUGCAAAUAAAUAUGACCUCCAAUUCUUCUACACUUGGAUAUGUUGUAUGGAAGGUACACUUCAAGACUUAUUUUAUAUAUUCAUAAAUAUAGACGGCAGCAAAGCAUAGUUGAGGCCUGGCCUUGGCAUCAGGCAGACUUAGAUUCAAGUCCUACAUCUAACAUAUAUUAACUUUGUGACCCUGAGAAAGUCAUUCAGUCUCAUAAUGCUUCCAAGGCAAUUCUCUAAAAUAAUAAAUCAGUACAGUGUCUGGCAUGCAGAAAGCCCUUAAUAAAUAUCUGCUGAUGGAUUGAUUGAGAAAUUGAUUUAAAAGUUUCCACUCCAGGAGUUCCCUGUCCUUAUAAAAUCAUAGGUCUGACAAGAAAAAAAAAAGCCCACACGGCAUUCAUUUUUUUAUCAACAAAUAAGCAAAAUUUCCAUAAACGUUAUAUUAAUUUACACAUUACAUUGCUAACUUAAUUGUUUUCCUCUUGUUCUGGUUCCUAUUUUCCCAGGCCAGUUCUCUUCCUGAUCUUUUUACCAAUUUACCAGUUUUAGCUGUUCAGCAUUGAAAGAGGUUGCCCAGUAGAAUAUAAGUCCAGGAGGACAGGGAUCUUUAUCUGGAUUUCCUUGGUGCCUAGAAUAGAGUUUUGUACAGAGCAGUCAUUUAAUAAAUGUUUGCUGAAUUUAAUUAAAUUGUGAAAUAGUGGAUCAUUGAAAAUGUUCAAGCAAUGUCUGAAUUAUGAUCUUCCAGUGACCACAUCAACAAAUCUUUCAGGAAUAUUUUAAAGUUAAGAUAAAUGGCUUCUAACAGCCUUUUCAGGGUGGAAAGAAUGCUGACUCAAAGGUCAGAGGAUUUAAGUUCAAAUCCCAUCCUGCUUCUGAUGUCAAAAUGAAGGGAUGGAACAAAAUGACCUCUGAUCCCUUCCAGUUCUAGGUCUCUGAGUCUAUAAUAAGGAUAAUAACUAGCAUGUAUUUAAUCCUUUGAUAACUGCAAAGCACUUUAUAUAUUUAAUCUCAUUUGAACCUUACAACCACCCUGUGAGACAGCUGCUGUUAUUAUCCCUAUUUUGCACAUGAGAAAACAGAAGUUAAGUGACAUGUCUAGGGUCACAGGGAUGCUAAGUGUUUCAGGAGGUUUUCAAAUCCAUGUCUUCUUGAUUCCAAAUCUCCCUCCAAAAUUUUAAUUUCCAAAUUUCUUUUAUUAUCUCUGCCAAAGAGUGAACACUGAGAAAACUAAACCUUCUAAUCUUUCCCUUUACAUCUUCAGUACUAGCGUCUUUCCCAUUUUAAUCUCCAGGCUUAUGGCUUUGGACUUGAUUUUGUCAAGUUUUCUGGUAAACUAUUGUCUCAUUUUAGAUACUCACUUGCCUUUAAUUCAAUUCAAUAUGUGAAAUGUUUAUUAUACCUGAGUAAGACAUUGUGUAGUUCAUAUAAAGAUGAAAAACAACAUAGUCUCUGCUUUCAAGAAUCUUAUUUUCUCAGAGGUGGUGCUGGUGAUAAUAAAGGCAAUGCAGGAGACCAAAUAGUAUACCAUAAGAAAAAUAAGGAAGGAGAGAUGACUUUCAGUUGAGAAAAUUGGGGAAUGUGUCAUGUAGAAAGUCUUCCCUUAUCUGUAUUUAAAGCAAAGGAAAGACUUCAACAGGCACAAAUAUGGAAAGAAGUGUAGGGGAUAGGUUGUUUCCUAGAGGACUGAAAAGAGCAGGCCAUGAUUUAUUGGAAUUUUGAGAGUUAAGCUAGAAUGAAAUGAGAUGGAAAGAUUAAUUUGGAGACAAGUUGUACAAGACAACUUAACUUGGAGAUAAUCUAGGUGAAAGAGUGUAGAAUUGAUAGACAGCUGAUUGGAUUCAGGGGUGAGGAAGAGGGAAGAGUUAAGGAUGGCUCUGAAUUUUGUGGUAGGACAGUAGAAACAGGGUAAUUGGAGAUGAGGAGGCAGAUAUGGAAUUUGGUUUUAGUUUGUUGAGUUUGAAUUGUUUACAAACACCCAACUUUUUCUUAAGGCUAGUCUAAUGCCAUCUACCUGUGUUUUGACUGCCUGUGCUAUCUAUGACUAGGACUGGGCUGAACCUUUCAAUACAUAAUUCUUCUUUCUUAUCUGUAUCCUUUCCUUCUCCAAAAUAAGACAUAUUUUCUUAUGAGUGAGUUACACAGUCUUUAUGUUUGGAUCCACAAAUAUGAUCUUAGCUUUCUCUUUGGACUUUUCAGCUAUUAAUUUUCCAGAUGCUUUUUCAUCCCUGUUGUGCCCUCCUCUUUUGAGCCUGAAACAUUUUUCUUGACUAUUUACAACUCAAGAAAAAAGCCUAAGUAUAGCUAUAAUAUUUCUUUGCUUGAUCCUUAUAUUAGUUUGCUAUUACCCUUCUUUGUCCCUAAAGGAAAAGCACUUGACAUAUGGUUAAACUCUCCUGACCCUCAACCUCCUAGCUAGUUUGCUUGUAUUCUCCAACUCAAGCUUUUUCUUCUUUUAAAAGUAGGUUCCUUUUACUGGUGUUAAUAUAUCACCAAAAUACCUGUAAUCAAGUCACAGUGUGGUCUAUAUUCCCUGCUUCAAUUCUGAUGAGAAUGACCACCAUCUUUAUACUUUGCCUAGGUGUUAUAACCACAACAUUCUCCCAGAAUUCCUGUUUUAUUAUAGCCUGUUACUGCCUUAAAAAUAAACUUGAUUUCUCUGUUAUCUGAAACUCAUAUUGAAAUCCUUAUUUUCAUGGAUUUGAAUUAUAGUACUGCAAAUAUGUCCCUAGAGUUUCUCCUGAUUGAAUUAAUAAUCAAGAUCCUCACCAAUUUUAAUUUCUUGAUGCAAAUCCACAGAAUGGGUUUUUCAUUGAAGGAGCCCUCCUGUUGUACUCACUACAUCACAGUCAUGGAUGUUGUUUUAUCUUCCUCUGUCAUCUCCUACUACUGUCUUAAUGGAAUGAAAAAUGGACCAAUUAGCAAUUCCUACUUCUUUUCUUUCCUUCUUUCUUUUUUCCUUUUUUUAUUUAGAAUAUUUUUUCCAUGGUUACAUGAUUCACAAUCCCCCCACCCUCCAACUCUUUUCUUCCACCUCCCGAAUACGACAAGCAGUUCCACUGGGUUAUACAUGUUAUCAUUCAUUGUUCAAAAUCUAUUUCUGUAUUAUUCAUAUCUGUAGUAGAGCUAUCCUUUAACAUCAAAACUCCAAUCAUAUCCCUAUUGUACUGUGUGAUUAAUCACACAUUUUUCUAAUGCAUUUCCAUUUCCAUAGUUCUUUCUCUUGAUGUGGUCAGCAUUCUUUCUCCUAAGUUCCUCUGGGUUGUCCUAAAGAAGUCCAUUACAAUUGAUUGUGCCAUAAUGUAUCAGUCUCUGUGUACAAUGUUCUCCUGGUUUUGCUCCUUUUACUCUGCAUCAAUUCCUGGAUGUCUUUCCAGUUCACAUGGAAUUCCUCCAGUUCAUUAUUCCAUUGAGCAAAAUAGUAUUCCAUCACCAACAGAUAUCACAAUUUGUUCAGCCAUUCCCCAAUCUAAGGGUAUCUCCUCAUUUUCCAAUUUUUUGCCACCACAAAGAGCAUAUCUAUAAAUAUUUGUGUACAAGUCUUUUUUCUUAUUAUCUCUUUGGUUUUUAAACCCAGUAGUAGUAUGGCUGGAUCAAAGGGCAGGAAGUCUUUUAAAGCCCCUUUAGUAAAAUUCCAAAUUGCACUCUAGAACGAUUGGAUUAAAUUUAUAACUCCACCAGCAGUGUAUUAGUGCCCCAAUUUUGCCAUAUUCCCUCCAAUAUUUAUCAUUUUCCUUUGUUGCCAUAUUGGUCAGUUUACUAGAUGUGAGAUGGUACCUCAGAGCUGUUUUAAUUUGCAUUUCUCUAAGUAGGAGGGAUUUAGAACACUUGGUGCUUAUUGAUAGUUUUGAUUUCAUCAUGUGAAAACUGCCUAUUCAUGUGCCGUGACCAUUUGUCAAUUGGGGAAUUGUUUGAUUUUUUGUAAAUUUGAUUUAGUUCCUUAUAUAUUUGAGAAAUUAAACCUUUGUCAGAGAGUUUUGUUGUAAAAAUGUUCUCCCAGUUUUUUAUUUUUCUUUGUUAAAAUUAAUUGUGGUUGGACUCUGAAUAUUUAUAUAGGUGGUCACCAGGGAUUUAAUUUCUAAAUCCCAAAAUGAAUUACUAAGAUAACUGGAAUUUAUGGUAGUUUAUUUACUAUAUUUACAAUAGAAGGAAGAUAUUAAGGAAUGAGAGAGAGAGAGAGAGAGAGAAAACUCUGGCUUCUUCUGAAACCAGUUAGAAUCUUUAAGCCCCAGUCAGGGGAAGAGAGUUUCAAAAAGAUGGCCUUACCUGGAGGCUUCAUAACUCCAGAAAGGCGGGUCACUAAGUCAGCUUUUCACUCACCAAAGAUGACAGUCUAAGAGAAGUCUGGGUAUCUGUAUUUUGGUCACUCUUUAAGGGUCUGUCUUCCAGUCGCUUCUCCAAGUCAGUGCCCGAAUCCCCCAGUGACUCUCUGAAUGUCUGAAUCCAAAUGAUCAAAUGUCCAAAUGACCUCCUUCUGCCUUUUGGUCCUCUUUUUAAAGAUCUUUUUCUCUUGGGUCACCUCCCUUAAAUUUUCACAUCUACCAAUCACAGCAGAUGCUUUUCUCCAGGAUUGAUCAUUCUUUAGUUCUCACCUUCUCUGGUUAGAUUAUAUCUUUUUGGGUUACUUAACACCUCUUUUAUUAAGUUCACCUUUUGUAGUUAGCACCUUUUUGUAGUUAAUUCACCUUUUGUAGUUACUUAAUAUAUUUUUGUAGUUAAAAAUCUAAAAAUAGAUUGUAGCUUACAAUUCUAGCUUCACUAUAAAGGAAGAGCUAAGUACCUUCAUUGUUACAAUCAGGAGAUUACAGUUUUCAUAAUAAAGAAAGAGCUAAGUAUCUUCAUUGUUACAAUCAGGAGAUAGCUAAAUCCAAUCUUCGUACCUUCUAAUUUUGGUUGCAUUGGUUUUGUUUGUACAAAACCUUUUUAAUUUGAUAUAAUCAAAAUCAUUCAUUUUACAUUUUGUAAUGUUCUCUAUCUCUUGCUUGGUCUUAAAUUCCUUUCUUUCCCACAGAUCUGACAGGUAUACUAUGCUAUGUUCACCUAAUUUAUUUAGUAUUUUACUCAUUAUAUUUGCCAUUUACCCAUUUUGAAUUUAUCUUGGUACAGGGUAUAAGAUGUUAAUCUAAACCUAAUUUUUUUCCAUGUUGUUUUCCAGUUUUCCCAGCAGUUUUUGCCAAAUAGUGAGUUCUUUUCCCAAAAGCUGUGGUCUUUGGGUUUAUUGAACACAAGCUUAGUGAAGCUAUUUACCCCCUAGUCUAUUCCACUGAUCCUCCUGUUUGUCUCUAACCAGUACCAUAUUGCUUUGAUGACCACUGCUUUAUAGUACAGUUUAAGAUCUUGUACUGCUAGGCCCCCAACCUUUAGGUUUUUUUCAUUAUUUCCUUUGAUAUUCUUGAUCUUUUGUUCUUCCAGGUGAAAUUUGUUAUAAUUUUUUCUAAUUAUAUAAGAAAAGGUUUUUGGUAAUUCGUUAGGUAUGACAAUUCUUUUCUUUCUCACUCCCCUUCUCCUUCCCUCCCCCUUCUUCUCUUUCUCUCUGUGCUCUUUCCCAUUUUAUCUGCUUUUUCCAUUUGCUGGGAUAUACAGGCUAUUUAAGAAGGACUAGCACCUAUAGUGUGAGGGUUUGCUGAGACCUUCUCAGAGCUACUCAUUCAUCUUUGGAUGUCACCCAACUUGGAGCUGUGGCUCCAAGAAUAUGUAGCAUAUACAGUGGCCACAUCCUGUUAAAACCAUCACCAAAGAUGGGCUAAGCCAAGUUAAGGGUAACUGACAUGCCUCUAGCCCUUUAGUGAGUUAGGGAGUGUCUACCCCAAACAUGUGAAGACUUUACUUUCCCCAGUUGAAUGGGCAGAAGAGAACAACCAUGAAGGCAGCUGAAGUGGAAGCUAUGGAAUGCUUAGGAUUUGGUCAGACACUGAAGACACCAAAGUCAUCCAUUGCAUUCCAGGCUAUCAUCAGCAAUCUGGCUUUUGUUCUGCUACUGGAUUUUGAUGAGAUGACUUAGUUGAGGCUGACAACUUUGUGCAAUUCUGCCUUAGUUAUAGACAAUUCAUGUACAAUUCAAGAUAUUUCCCCAUGAUGUCAUUGGUUCUUUUCAGAAAUGAAGGAUAAACAACCAUAAUUAUCUAUAUUCACCAUUCUUCAAAAUUUUGGGAGCUAAUACAUUAGAGUUUUAUAUAUUCAAACUCCCACACAUCUGUUCAAACUAUUGUCAUUGCUCUCUUAGUACAUCAUCUUUCUCCAUCAAGUUCCUAAUUGCUUAGGCCCCAAAUCUAAGAGACUACUCUGUUCUAUCUCCUUCCUUUCUUGAUCUACCUAUUGGAACCAUUAUAAUGUCCUCUUGAUUACUUCACCCUCUUUUAUAUUCUCACCAGAAAUUGUCACGUUUUCUUUAUCCCAGAAGACUUUCUUGUCACACAAAUGAAAAUUUUUUUCUGUUCACAAUAACUUUAGGUAAGGAAAGGUAAAAAUCUCCAUUUCGUGGAUGAAAAAAAGUGCUAUACAUAUUUGGGCUGGAGUUAGGUUUAAAACCAGUUUUUUUGACUCCCAGGUUUAGACUUUCAUCUUUUAGACCAUUAUUUCUCAAGCUUUGCCCACUUGAGGAAGCUAAUAUUGGAUAGACUAUAUCGGGGAAUGAGGUGCUAAUUUGAUAUACUCCCUGCAAAAAAUAGACAUUCAGAGGUCUAGCUAUCUAUAUGAAUAGAAUGUGUACAUGAAUACAUAGUGGAAAAUGACCCUUCAUUGUCUACAACACCUACCGUUAGCACAUUUGCAUCCGUGACUGUCUGUCCAUCUAUACAGUGCUCUGUGUUACUAGAUAUUUGACUCUGAAAUUCAAUAUCACAUUAUAGGAAAAAUGUGCAUAAAUUUCCUCAAUUAUGGUCAAUAUGGGAAUACUCAUUUGGAAUAGGUAUGUAAUGACGACUACCGAAAGAGCAGUGUGAUUAUUCUGUUAGGGAUAUUAAGUGUAUUAAAAAAAAACCCAGAGAGAUUCUUUUUUACAAAGAUUUAAGGCUCAGUGAGAGAGAACAUAUAUAAGCCUGGGAAAAUAAUGAUGAGCUGAGAGAAGCUGAUGGCCCACACAGUAUCUGAGUGACCCUAGUUGUUAAUUAGCCCCACAGGACAUGCCCUGGAUGGUAAAUGUUAGCUUAUUGAAGGCUUUCAUGGCUAAUGUCAAAUCAAAAUUGUUAUUGCCAGUGCACAGGUUGUGGAAUCACCUUUGCGGAACAACUUGAAAAUGUCGUGGACUGGAAGAUCUUUUUUGCUUAAACUGCUCAGCUACCAAUGAUGUAUCUGAAAAGGCCCAGAAGCAUCACUCACUAACUUUGCCUCUUUUCCAAAAGGAAGUUGGCAAAGAAUCAGGAGAGAAUCUUUUCAUUUCAACACUGAUCCUGUAUAUUUGUUUGAGUGCAGAGAUCCUGUUGCUUAAGGAAUGCUGAUAAUGCUUAUAUAAACUUUGCCCACAGUUGUUUGAAAUCCUUAGACCUAGAAACAAUCUAGCAAGACUGCCAGAUUCUCAUUGCCUGAUUUGUUUUUACUAGUAUCAACUUUUCUCUUGGAUCCAUCUUUGCUUCUGCCUUCUGAGACAAAUAAGUGGUAUGGUCAAAAGCAUUCUGGACUUGUAGCCAGGAAGAUCUGAGUUCAAAUGUGACUGAAGACAAAUUCUGACUGGAUGAUCCUGGAGAUUCCAGAGACAGAACUACACUCCAUCUUCAUUAUUCCUCUCCAAGGUCUCCAUUAGUAUGAAGUGCACAGAACCUAUAAGUAUGGCAAACUGGAAGCCCUCUCCUUCAACAUCCAAGGAAAUCAGACUCUUGAGGAUACCAGGAAAAGAACAACAAGACUGCAUACACUAAUUGAAUGACAUUUGUUUUUAUUUGUUGUUCAGUUGUUUUCAGUCAUGUUCAUGGCUCUAUUUGGGAUUUUCUUGGCAAGUAUAUUGGAGUGGGUUCCAUUUCCUUCUCCAGUUCAUUUUUACAAAUGAAGAACUGAGGAAAACAGGGUUAAGGAACUUGCCCACAGUUAGUAAGAGUCUGUGACCAUAUUUGAAUUCAUAAAGGUGAGUCUUCAUGAUUCCAAGCCCAGUGUUUUAGCCACUUCGUCAUCUAGCUACCCCUCUGAAUGACAUGGGACUUACCAAUUAUAAUUCUUCUGGCAGUAUGGAGGACCCUGAAGCCUUACUCUCUGUCUUGAUACUGCAUCCUCUGAGUCUUAGCCCCUGCCUUGCCUCUACAUCUUCCAGAACUUGAGCCACUAUCAUCAAAUCUGUAGGGGUACCAUAUCAAUUAAUCAGUCUAUGAACAUUUAUUAAUCAUGUACUUAUAGGCUAAGUACUGUGCUAAGGAUACAAAAAGAAGUAAAAGACAGUUCCUGCUCUCAUAAUCUCUUAAGGAAGAUAGCAAGCAAAAAUACAUGCAAACAAACUAUAUACAGGAAACAAGGAACACAUUAACAGAGUGAAAGCACUAGAAUUAAGAGGGGUUGAAAAUGGCUUCCUGUAAAAGAUGGGAUUUUAGUUGGGACUUGAAGGAAGCCAGGGAGGUAAUUAAUCAGAGCAGAGGAGGGAGAGCAUUCCUGGUGUGGGGAGCCAGUCAAAGGCAAUUCCUAGAGCCAAGAUAUGGAAGGUCUUAUUCAAGGAACAGAAAGGAGGUCAGUGUCAUUGGAUUGAAAAGCAUGUGGCAAAGAAAAAGGUGUCAGGAGAUUGAAAGGAUAGGAGGAGGGUUAGCUUAAAAUGGCUUUGAACAUCAGAGAAUUUUAUGUUUGAUAGGGAAUCACCAGUCUAUUAAAUAGGGGAUAACAUGGCUGGACCUGUGCUUUAGGAAAAUCAUUUUGCUGACUGAAUGUAUAGAUUGGAGUGGAGAAAGAAUUGUGUCAGGCAAACCUACCAUAAGAUGCGAUAAUGAGUAUCUAUACCAGGGUGGUGGCAGUGUCAGAUGAGAAGAGGGUACACAUUUGAGAGGUGUUUCAAAUAUAAUAUCAACAAGCCUUGGCCACAGAUCGAAUAUGGGAGAUGAGAGGUAGUGAGGGGUUGUGGUUGACACCUAGGUUGUGAAACUGAGGGACUUGGGAGAAUAAUGUUGCCCUCUAUAGUAAUAGAAAAAUUAUGAGAGAGGCUUGUUAGUGGGAAAGAUAAUGAGUUCAUUUUUGGACAUGGUGAGUUUAAUAUGUCUAUUGGACAUCCAAUUUGAGAUGUCUGAAAGGUCAGCAGAGAAGUUAGGGCAAGAUAGGUAGAUUUUUAAAUUAUCAGUAUACUAUGGGAUAUGGCAAAAGCAGUGAUUAGAGGAAAAUUUAUAUCUUUAAAUGCAUAUAUCAAUAAAAUAUAGAAAGAACAGAUAAAUGAAUUGGUUAUACAAUUUUUUUAACUAGAAAAAGAAGAAAUUUUAAAUUCCCAAGUAAAUGUCAAAUUGGAAAUCCUAAAAAUUAAAGUUGAGAUAACCCAUGCAAAUCAUCAGCAUUUCUAUAUAUCACCAACAAAAUCCUAUAAGAAGAGUUAGUGGUAGAAUGGGCUAUAAAAAUACCCAUAAAUAGAAAAAAAUCCCUAGGAGCAUACCUGCCAAAACAAACACAAGAACUACAUGAGCAUAAAUAUAAGACACUUUUUAUACAAAUAAAGCCAAAUUUAAAUAAUUAGAAAAAUGUUAAUCAUCCAUUGGUAAGCAGACCUAAUAUGAUUAAAAUGACAAUUCUAUUUAAACUAACCUACUUAUUUAAUGUCAUCUCAAUUAAAUUACAAAAAAUAUUUUACUGAAGCAGAAAAAAUAAUAUCAAAAAUCACUUGGAAGGACAAGAGGACAAGAAUAUCAAAGGAAUUAAUGAAAAAAAUGUAAAGGAAAGGUCUACCUGUACCAGAUUUUAAACUGUAUUAUAAAAUAGUAAUUAUCAAAAUUAUCUGGUACUGACUAGGAAAUAGAAAAGGAGAUCAGUGAAACAUAAUAGACAUACAAUAAAGCAUAGUAAAACAUUAUAGUAACUAUGUUUUGGCAAAAGCAAAGAUUGAACCUUUUGGGAUUAGAAUUCACUAUUUGGUAAAAUUUUGGGGGAAAAAUUAGAAAGAAGUCUGGCAGAAACUGGAUAUGUUUCAAAACUUUAUACUAUUUACCAAGAUCAUAAUGGAUACAUGACCAAGGCUUAAAGGGAGAUAUUGUAAGCAAAUUAGAACAGAAAAUACAUUACUUAUGAAAUUUAUGAAAGGAAAGAAUUUGUAUCCUCAGUGCUUACCAGUGCCUGGUAUAUUGGAAGCACUAAAUAAAAAACACUUCAUUCAUUCUUCAUUUGUGCACUAGAAUUAAGAAUUGAGAAUCUUAAGUCCCUUCCAGCUCUGAAUUCUAACAGUGGAGGGAUAAGAUUUCUUGCCGACAAGUCCAAUGAUCUGUUGCAUCACUUCACUUUUCAGAUGAGGAAGUUCAGGUUCAGAAAAAUUGUGAAUCACCUAUAGUCAUACAGUUAGCAAUAGAAUGUGAAUAAAGUUUGUAUAUUAUUAUGAAAUUACAGGAUUAGAUUUAUAUAGAAUUGGAUUUUGAUCAAAUUUUUUUAGAAUGCUUAUUGAUAAACUGAUUGAUACACUAGGACAUGUUUAGCCAUUGCCCAGUUGAUGAGCAUUGUUUCACAUUUCUAACUACUACAAAAAGAGAGUACUGCUAUCAUUCUUUUGGUGUAUAUGAAUCUUUAUUUUUUUCAUUGGUCUCCUUGGGGGCUUAAGCCUAGCAAUGGAGAUUAGGGAUCAGAAGAUAUCUUGUGGUCAUUUUCUUUGCAUUUCUCCAAAUAGCUUUCCAAAAUAGCUUAACCAGAUCAUAGCUCCAACAGUGUAUUAGUAGGUCUGUCUUUCUACAGUCUCUCAAACAUUGACUAGCUUCAAUUUUUCUCAUUUCUGCCAAUUUACUCAGUCUGAGGUGAUUUUAAUUUUCCUCAUUAUUAAUUAUCUUGAGCAUUCCUUCAUAUGGUUGUUGAUUGUUUGCCAGUCUUCUUUGAGAACCAUUCAUUCAUUUGACAUUUUAUCUAUUGGGGAAUGUCUUUUGGUCCACUCCAUUUGUAUUAGUUGUCUACAUAUCUUUAAUAUUACAUAUUUGAUGCAAGAUAGUUGAAACUAAAAUUCCAAUAAAAACCCUAUAUUCUUCUUGUUCAAAAUACCUCUUCUGGGCCACUGCUCCCCCAUAUUUCUUAUCUUCCUUUUAAAGUAUAAGCUUCUAAGGUUAGGGAAUAUCUUGAUUUUUGUAUUUGUAUCCCAAACCCUAGAUGGAACAGUGGAUAGAGCACUAAGCUUGUUGUCAGGAAGACCUAAGUUCAAAUUCAGUCUCAGGUAUUUCCUAGCUGUGUGAUCCUGAAUAAGUCACUUAACCUUGUUUAUCUCAGUUUCCUCACCUAUAAAACGAACUGGAGAAAGAAAUGGCAAACUACUCCAAUAUCUUUGCCAAGAAAAUUCCCAAAUGGGGUCACAAAGAGUUGGACACUGCUGAAAACAAUAAAAUCCCUAACACUUAGCAUAGUAUAUAGUAAACACAUAAUAAAGACCUUUUUUAUUCAUUCAUUUUGUGUGAAACUGUAAUUCUUUGUCAUACAAGCUUAUUUUAAAAUUUCUAUCUAAUCUAAUCUGUGUAUUUUUAACAUGUUUUGAUACUUUUGAUCUUUUCUUUUUAUUAUUUUUAUCACUCAUGCUUCUCACUGAAAAUCCUCUUAUUCAUUCCAAUAGAAUCCCAUCCUUGUAACAAAUUAGUCAAAUUCAUACACUGGUCUUCUGAAAAAUUAUAUUUCAUACUAAUUUUGUAGUCCAUCACUUCUCCACUAAGAGGAGGAAAGCAUUGCUUCUCAGAAGCCUGCUUGUGUCAGCAUUGGUCUCUUGCUUGGAUUAAAGUUCUUCAACCUUUCAAUGUUGUUCCACUUUACUAUAAUCAUUAUUUAAAUUAUUCUGGUUCUUCCAGGAGAACAUUGUACACAGAGACUGAUACACUGUGGCACAAUUAAAUGUGAUUGACUUCUCCACUACCAGCAAUGCAAUGACCCAGAACAAUUUGAAGGGAAUUAUGAGAAAGAACCCUAUCCACAUUCAGAGUAAGAACUGUGGGAUAGAAACACAGAAGAAAAACAACUGCUUGAUCAUAUGGGUCGAUGGGGAUAUGAUUGUGGAUGCAAAUUCUAAACAAUCAUCCUGGUGCAAUUAUCAAUAAUAUAGAAAUAGGUCUUGAUUAAUGACACAUGUAAAACUCAGUGGAAUUGCACAUCAUCUAUGUGACUGGGUUGGGGAGAGGGGAGGGCAAGAACAUGAAUCUUGUAACCAUGGAAAAAUAUUCUAAAUUAACUAAUUAAAUAAAAUCCUCCCCCCAAAAUAAAUAAAUAAAUGAAUUUUUCUGGUUCUUCUCACUUCAUGCUGUAUCAAUUCAUACAAAUCUUGCCAGGUUUCUCUAAAUUUCUCCUUUUUUGUAAUUUCUUAUGGCACAAUAUUCCAUUAUAUUCCUAUACUAUAAUUUUUUUCAGGCUGCCUCCAAUUAUAGGCACUCACAUUGUUUCCAGUCCUGCUACAACAAAAAGUGCUUCUAUGUCUAAUAGUAGUAUUUUGAGACUAACAUUAUAUGCAUAGUUUCAUGAGUUUGGAGGCAUAGUUCUAAAUAAUUUUCUAGAAUGGUCGGACCAAUUAAGCAUUCUACAAAUAGUGUGUUAGCUUAUUCUCUCAAGGUUCUUAAUUAUUGUCUAAUUUUAUCCUCAAGAUAAUUCCCCAGGUCAUUCCUGUUUUUCCUACCCCAAGUAUACCUAAGUCUUUUCUCCUUCUAGUUUCUCAAGCAUGUAUUUAUCCUAUAUUAUGCUACAUGUAAUUAGCUAUGUUUUAGAGGGAUGUUCAACACACCUGAUGUAAUUUAGUGCAAUAAAAUUAUGUAAUUUUUUUCUAUUUAAUACUAUUACAAUGACUCUUUUUUCUGGUUAUGGAUCUCUUUUGGGGAGGCUCAGUAAUGCCUUAGCACAAUGUCAUCUAUUUCUGGAGGCCUCACUACUUAUAGGAAAUCACUUCUAUUUAGACUAUACACUAAGCACCUUUAAAGCAGUGGCAAAUAUCUUUAGAAUAGAGGUGUUGAACUCUCUACUUAUGGUUAGCAGAUGGCCAAUUUGACUCUGCAGGCAAACUCCCCAAUGUUACUUGAACAAGAUUAAAAUGUAAUUGGAAAAUAUUUAACAAAAUAGAUGAAACUACACUAUAUCAUAAUGUUAAUUUGUCAUUUUCUAAGACAGUAUACUUUGGGAAUCCAUUUCACUUGAGUCUGAAACUACUGCUUUGGAGGAUGUUACAUCUUUUGGAUGUUUUUAUUGUUAUGUCUAUCAACAAAUUUUGCAUUAUUUUAACAUAUCCAUGGAACACACCUUGUUGAAAGAGAGCUUUCCAAGACCACACUUUGUUCUACUGAAUUGUUAUUUUCUAAUGUCAUCAAACACAAUGGGAUUUUAUAUUUUCUAGACCCUUCAGUAAAUUGUGUGACUUUAAAUAUAUGAGUAUUACAUAUAAAAUACAUACAUGUAAGAUACAUAGAGGAUAGAUGAAUGCUAACUUUAGAAGGAAAGGCUUUAGCACUUAGAAGGGACUAGGAAAAGGUCUCUUAUAAAAGGAAGCAUUUCAGCUACAUCUUAGAGGAAGUCAAGAAUUCUUGGAGGCAGAGGAAAAGUAUUCCAAGCAUGGAAGACAAUCAAGAUAAAGGAAUGGAGAUGAGAGAUCAAGUGUUAUAUGUGAGCUAUAGUAAGUAGGACAAGAUACUGAGUGUCUUACAGGGAAGUAUAGUGGGAGAUAACUGGCAAUGUGGGAAGGGACUAGGUUGUAAAGAAUUUUAAAUACCAAACAAGUGGCCUUAUACUUGAUUCUAGAUGUGAUAGAGAACAAUUGGUAAUUAUUGAGUAUGUGUAUUUGUCUGGCAUGAUCACAUCUACAUUUUAGGUGGUUCCAGAAGUAGCACAACAGUUUUUAUUGGUAAAGGAAAUUUCUUCACUGGAAAUUCCUUAUACCAUUGAAAUCACUGGCAGGUCCUUACCUCAAUCCUCCCUACUUCCACUCCACCAAAAACAAUUCUUGGAAUUACAGAAUCAUAGUAUCAAAGAGAAACUAAGGCUACCAAGGCUACAACUCUUUCCUUCAGAGAUAUUAGUCACAAUAUUUGCAGAAUGUGACACUCUAGAAGUGAUCUGUCCAUGGUAGAGCUUAGUGGAGUUAUCAUCUCCUGUGUUUUGGACUCUAAUUCUCCAGGUGGAGUCCAAGAACCCAGUAGUUUUCUUGGCUGGUCAUAACAUACUAAUGACAUUUAGUUUACAAAAAAUCAUUAAAAAACCAACACUCUCUUUGAAAAUGAAGGACAAACAACAACAUUUAUUAUGACACCAAGCUAUUGAUCUUUGUUGUGGUCAUUCCACAAAUUCCAAAUUCAACUGACUAUGUUAUUUUCUAGCUCAUAUUUCUCUCCCUAGAUUGCAUGGAUAACUUGAAAGUCUUCAUCACAUGCUUUGUUACAAUCUUGGUGUAAACUAUGUAUACAACACUUCCUCAUUUUCCAGUUAAGCAACACUGUUAAAAAAUUUGGUUAAUCAAUUGAUCAACCAAUAAGCAUUUAUUAAGCUCCUAGUAUGGUUAGGCACUGAGUCAGUUUCUGGGAAUAAAAAACACAAAGAAUGUAACAAUUAAGAGAGCAUUUAUAAGCAGGAAAUAUCAGAACAUAGAGAAUAUGUACAUAGACAGUAAUUAAAAAUAAAUACAAAACAGUCUAAUAUAUUAAUAUAUCAUUAGCAGAAUCUCUGUAAUCAUGUCCCUAGUUUGUUUAGUAUCUUGGAAUAUCAUUCAUCUGGACUUGGUGUCUUCAAGUUGUUGAGAACUCCUAAGUAUUCUCCUCUUUUAUCUCGUGUUUCUGUCUUCUUUCCAUCAUCCAUUAUCCACAACUCAUCUCCCUCAUGUACAGGCCCAUUUCUUCUUUGAUCCUCUUCUUUUCCCAACCUAUCUUAAAAAAAACACAAAAACAAAUUUUAAUUAUUUUGUCCUAAACACUGAUCACCAGUAUCAGUUUAUAUUGAGCAUUAGCACUCCUGAUCCAUUCAUCUCAGGUUUAUACGACACGGUAGUAUUCAUCUUCAAUCACCUGCUUCUGAUGAAGAUCCCUAUGCAUGCAAAUUAUUGUAACAAACUAUUUCAUAGUAACAAAAAACUAGAAACUAAGGGAAUGCUCACCUAAUUGAUAAGGAUUAAACAAAUUCUAGCAUAUAAAUAUGAUGGAAUAUUAUUGCAUCAUGAGAAAGGAUAAAAUGGACAGUUUCAGAGAAAAUGGGGAUAAUCCAUAUGAAAUCAUGUAGAAUGAAAUGGGCAGAAUCAGAAGAAUAAUUUUUUGCAGCAAAAACAGUAUAAAGAAAAAAACAACCUUUAAAGACUUCUAGUCAAUGAAAUGACAAACUAUGAUUACAGAGGAUUGAAGAUGAAGCAUUCUAUUCACUACUGGUAAAAGAUGAUGGCUUCAAAAUGCAGAAUAAAACACUUGACUGAAUAUUUGGUUUAAGGGUUUUCUUCUUUUUAGUUUAAAUG